Molecule: small nucleolar RNA, 113 nt
Organism: Jaculus jaculus (lesser Egyptian jerboa)
Lineage: Eukaryota; Metazoa; Chordata; Mammalia; Rodentia; Dipodidae
Product: small nucleolar RNA SNORA57
Exons: 1
Source: RefSeq, a predicted model, not a curated record
GCUCCCCGUUAUGUGCGGAGGCAGAGCGAAAGGGCCCCGGCCCUCCCGGCGGCAUGUCUUUGGUGUCAGUGGAUUCUGGUUCUCCAGUUCUAUCCUCAGACGCCGGGACAUUU